RNAcentral lists this ribosomal RNA (465 nucleotides) under Vreelandella stevensii. Its description in RNAcentral is "partial 16S ribosomal RNA". It matches the Rfam family "Bacterial small subunit ribosomal RNA", at positions 338 to 795 of the family's 1533-position model. Lineage: Bacteria; Pseudomonadati; Pseudomonadota; Gammaproteobacteria; Oceanospirillales; Halomonadaceae. The record is from RNAcentral.
CCUACGGGCGGCAGCAGUGGGGAAUAUUGGACAAUGGGCGAAAGCCUGAUCCAGCCAUGCCGCGUGUGUGAAGAAGGCCUUCGGGUUGUAAAGCACUUUCAGUGGGGAAGAAAGCCUUGGGGCUAAUACCCUCGAGGAAGGACAUCACCCACAGAAGAAGCACCGGCUAACUCCGUGCCAGCAGCCGCGGUAAUACGGAGGGUGCGAGCGUUAAUCGGAAUUACUGGGCGUAAAGCGCGCGUAGGCGGUCUGAUAAGCCGGUUGUGAAAGCCCCGGGCUCAACCUGGGAACGGCAUCCGGAACUGUCAGGCUAGAGUGCAGGAGAGGAAGGUAGAAUUCCCGAUGUAGCGGUGAAAUGCGUAGAGAUCGGGAGGAAUACCAGUGGCGAAGGCGGCCUUCUGGACUGACACUGACGCUGAGGUGCGAAAGCGUGGGUAGCAAACAGGAUUAGAUACCCCGGUAGUC